GCGAGCGGGGCCGUGGUGCCGCCGCCAUUUUACGCCCUCGCACCUCAGAUGCCCAGCGCCGACGUGGCGCGGGGAAGGAGGUUUCGCACUCCUCAGAUCCUCUCUGAGGACAAUGGAAGCUGUUCAGAAGCCCCCGACAAGGGUUCCCGCCGACCCUAAGCGCGGCGGGGUACGCCGCCCGGGGACAGGCGAAGCGCCGUGCGCAGGGCAGCAGCACCACGGCAGCGAGCAGCUGAGUCCAUAUGGCGGCGCCGCCGCCAUAAAAUGGCCGCUCAUGGUGUGAAGACCGGUCCGUCGCCAAGCCCUCGCCAGACCGUAAGGCUGACCCCCAGCUUCCCUCGCACAACUCCGUGGCUUUUCACUCGCGGCAUUCCCUCCAUAACCUUAACCCCUCAUCUCGUUAGAUUUUAAAACCUUCAAGGUGUUUUAAAUGCUAGUAGCCCUCAGGGGCUCCUCCCCGUCACAGCGCUAUAAGGCAACAUAACCCCGCCUGAUUACCCUCUCUGUAAAAAAUUUCUUCCCGGCGGCUCCGCGUUCAUGCGCCUCGCAUUACCUCCCAGCACCCCAGUACCCUCUGUCCCGGGACGGCGCCCCUUUCUCUUCCCUCCACCUACCAUCAUUCACCAAAGCCGAGGCUGCGCCCACACACCAAAAAAUGAGGCUUUUAAAACAAAAGCAAAAUUAUAUUUUUUGAGAAAAACUGGGGACACCUUAGCCAGAUCCUCAAUGUCACCUGUGAGUGAAACGGAGACCCCCCUGCGGUCGCCUUGUUAAGUAGCCCCAAGUGGAAAGGGGCGGGGAAGAGGCUUACACCAACCGGGGUGGCUUUCUCACAUUCGUUCUCUCCGCCCCUCAUGGAGCUCCCUCGUGUAGCUGCCCAUAUACAUCUGCCCAGAUACAUCCGCCCAGAUACAGCUGCUCCCGUACCUAUGCCCAGAUACACCCUUUCCCGACAUGCUUCAAACGACUGGAGACAAAGGGACGAGGAAAACGUGGUUUCUCUUCGUUGGGAAAUGAGACUAAAUCAUACUGCACACGUCAGAGAGGGUUCUGUGUGUUCAUCCAAGUAGCUGCAGUCCAAAGUGAAUUCAUCUCUCCUGAAGAGUACACAGACAGUACACAGCAUUUGAGAUGAGAAUUCAGAAUUAUUCAAUAUUCAGAAUCAAGAAACAUCUGUGAAAAUGACUGUGGUGCUGCAGUUUGGGUGCUGGACAGAAGAGGGUGCCCUUCAGAUAGCCUGAGAGAGAAAAGACCUUGGCUGUGGACACUGAAAACAGCCGGAGGUCGUCAAACUCCCGGUUCAGCGAGGCUGUGGAAGCCCAUGCAGCCUGCACUGUGUGGCCUGGAGAAGGGCUUGCUUGCACACUCCGAGCUGCUUGGACACUUUAAUAAAGACUGCAUGAACAGCAGGAGUAGUGUUUUGAUGUAGCUGGAAAUCCCGAGUACAGCAUGCUGGGAGUGAGCGAUGCUGUUAUUGUUUCUGCUGCAUUCAGAAGGUGGCUAUAAGCUGAUACAUUUAAUGUUGGCUGUGUGCACCAGAGUCUCUGUACUGUUCAAAUCAAUGCUUUAGAAGAUGGUCACUUAGUCAAGACUGUAUCUCAUAAACCACCUGAGGAAACGAAUCCUGUGCUUGCCUGGCUGCAUGGAAAUAUGAUUUUUGACUCAUACUGCUGGAGUUCCUGAUGCGUAUACUCCUACAGGGGGCAAGUUUGUUGGCUGCAUUGAACAAGCAAAAAUGCUUCCACAUUGUAGAACACUCCCAUAACAUUGAUUCAAGUUUAAUCGGUUACAUGAGGUAGUUCAGAGAGCAGUUACAGCUGUGCAAAGCAUUAGUCAUUGUUAGAAUUUGACUUCGUGUGAUAACCAGGCAAUAAACUCAGCUGUCAAUCUCUGUAGGAAUGAGCCAUUGUGAGAACUUAAAUAUCUGCUGUGAACAUUUCUGUCAAAUAAAUCACAUCUCCUGAGUGGAUGCUUCCACUCUUUUGUCAAGGAAGAAAGACAAUGUUUUCUUUGGUUAGUUCUAGAAAGGCUAAAUAAGCGUUGUAAUGAUUGCAAGCCAACUCUGUCCAUACACAGGAUUAAUGCAAGUGUUCAGGGUGCAAAGAUGUUUUUAAAUCUUGAUUUACAGUGUGUUUUUCAAAUUAACAGAGCACUCAGAGCCCUCAAAUGAUACUCAAUGGGUCAUGUUUGUUUCUCAAACAUAUGCCAUAUAUUUGAAACUGAAUCUAAUGCUUUUAAAUGAACUAAUGAUUAGUGUUUUUAAUAAACAGCCUGAAGUCCAGUGUUAGCUGAUGAAUUGUGAAACAAGAAGAACAUUUACAGGACAUACUACAGUAUAUCAGCUUAGCAGAAUUGAAAUUUCACUUUUUCAAAUGCUGCUUCAGAUAGAAUUGUCUUUUCAGGGCAACUUGCGUUCUCCAGUGGAAUUGAACCAGGGUGCAGAAUAAGCUGCUAUAAUUAUGCAAGCCCCAUCACUAAGAUAAUUACAAGUAUUUUAAUCAUCCUUAAUUCUUAUAUCACAAUAAGAAAACUUCGGUCCAAACUAUGUUUCAUCCAUAAAACUGUUUAAAGCAUGAAAUCUAAAGUGUGUCCGAACAAAUGAAGCACAGCUUCAUCUUGAAUUGGUGAAAACCAUAGUUACAGGUGACCAGAGUUUAUAAUGUAAUGCUACUUUAUUUUUGCUGAAUGAUGUAAAAAUACCUGGAGACAGUGUUUUGUAGCCACAUUUACACAAAUACAUGACAUCAACUCUGAGAAGACCAUUAUGGGCUCUUCAAGAACAGUUACAGAAGCCAAGAGAAAAGUACUUCACCCUUGGAGAAGAAAUACUGGCAUGCACAUGCGUAAUAGGAAGAGCGACACCCUGUCUUUUGGCCAUAAACUCAGCUUCUGCUGGAUCACGUUCCUUGCCUGUUACUGUACAGUCAACACUGAAAAGACUCAGAGAAGUGUGAAGUAGUGUGAUUUUCUUUGUAUGUGUCAUAGAAAACAAAUCAGGAGAUGAAAAUGUAAUGUUUGACUGCUUGUUUUGGUCAUUUUUUUCUUUCCUAAAUACCCUGGAUACUGUCUUCUACAAUGGAAGCAGUUGAACAAAUUGAGUAAGUUUUUGCUGCUGUUUCAGAAGAAUAAUAUAAAGCUACUUGUUUAGUCUGUGUUGUUGAGCAGAAAUUACAUGGCAUACUGACAGCAAAAUAGACUAAUAGUAAUAACAAAUAUAAUUUAUCUCUGCUAUACUUUCAACUGGACUGAACUUUCUCUGCAAGACAGGAGAAUAACUCAUAAAUGUAUUAUUCUGGAGGAAUUAGAGACAAAAUCAAUACACUUUGCUCGUGGUGCACAUCAGUGAGUUGUCAUAACAGUGAUUAUAAGUUCUCCAUCGGUAGUCAGGGUUGGAUGCUCAAGCUGCUCCAAAAGUUUCUCUUGCUUGACAAAACAAGCAUGAGUUGGUACAGGCUGAUGCCAGACUAGCUUUUUAUUUGAAAAGCUGACAGUCAACACUAUAGACUUUGUUACUCAUUUGCCAUUGUUGUUGUAUUAAUGGAUUUCUUCAGUAAAUGGCCAGAAGUAGCCUCUAUCACAGGUCCAUCUGCUUUGGUCAUGACUUUCCAUUAACUCCUUUCAGCAGAGUAGGAAGCUCAGAAAACUAAUGUUCACAUUGUCAGAGAUUCGGAGGUAUGGUGGAGAUGGGGAGGUAAUGUGGGUUGGGAGUUCAGGCUUUUAGUAUAAGUGAGCUCUUGUAGACACAGUGAGAGCAGCCCUGCUGUUUUUUUGAGUGAAGGAUGUAAGGGGUGGAGGAGAGUAAUUGUAGUGUAUGUGAAUCCGUAAUAGACCAGGAUUCACUGAUUCCACUGCUUGUUGAAUGACAAAGUACAAAAUUACACAGAAGCGGCUGUAAUGAUGAGACAGGCGUGAGCCCAAGCCGCAAAUUCAAAUCAGAAAGCAAUCACAGGAUCAGCAAAGGAUAUAGCCAGGCACAGCCAUAUCUGUAAAUGCAACUCAGGCAAGGACUGAUAGCAGGGACCUGAGCUCAAAUGCAACUCUUGAGCCAAGUGCAGAGGCCCCUGAUAAGAUGUCUUACAGCUCUUUCUCAUACUACACUUUUCAAAGCAGUCUGGUUGUAUUAAAGCUGACAUCAAAGAGUGGUAGCCUGGGUGACAGGCCUGGGUGACAGGCAAAGGGAAAAGAGACUACAGUGUUUUUGUGAAUGUGCGGCCUGACAAUACACAGUGGAGUAGCUUUAAGGAUGGGGUUGUUGAUUUGGGGUUUUUUUAAUAGUGGACUUCGGUUCAUAAAUAUGUUGUUUCUGUAGAAAAAAAUGUACAAAGGGCUGAAUUCUGUUAUUAAAGCAACCAUUGAUCCAGCUGUGGUUUCUCAUAUGCAGAUAAAAUUGGCUCGUAUCAUAGUAAGACUUUGAGCUUGUCUAGUAAUUACCUGCCAUACCUCGCUUUGUGUCUGCAGCUCCUCAGUUGGUGACCUGCUGUUUGUUAGACAAAGACCACCUGGUUAUCAGAAAAUCUAGCUAAAGCCACAGCAGAAAAAGCAGAAUUAGAAGGUGGAUGGGUUGCCUUACUCACCAAAAGCAAGCUGUUGAGGGACACCUUGAAGGAGUUGUUUGAAGUAAAUGUGCUGGCUGAACCCUGUGGUACUUCGUGCAGAUGCUUGGACAGAAGCAGGGGUGUAUGAGUGCCCUUGUGUAGACAAGAUGGGAGUUAUAUAUUCAUAGAAGUGUUCAUCAUUGAAUGUUACUGGAGAGAAAGGUCAUUAUGUAGAAAACUGGGGUUUAACACAUGUGGGCUUCAAGCAUUUUAAUUAGACAAAGAACUAGUUUGCUAGCUAAAUAUUUCUUUUCUGAGCUUUGUGCUUUGAUCCUGCAGUACUGUAGGGAAGGAAAAUCUUGGCAAUAGGGGACAGCUCGUUGCAUUCCAUACUUGAUAAAAGGCUACUACUGCUCAAGUGAGCACUAGAAGACAUACAAGGAGGUCUCACAGGAUUUGAAUUGUUCUGGAAAAGGAUUAAAUAUUUGAAAGAUUUUACAACAUCCUAAUUUUUUCUGAUCUCUAGUAACCCAGCCUAAUUGAAAGCUGUAGUAAAGUGAUUAAAAGAUGGAGUCUGCUUUGCCAUUGUCUCGAGCCUGGAGCUAAAAAGCCUUGAUGCCACAGCUAGGCUGCUGUGGGAGCUGAGCUACUUGCAAAAGCUCCAGGAGGCACCUAGCAAGCCAUCAGAAGCAGGUAGAUGAGCAAAAAAGAUAAAAAGUUGUUACAAUCAAGAACAUGGCAAGGACUUACUCUCCCAUAUAAGGUAAGCCAGGCAGAUCUUGCGUGGAGACUGGGGGAACCGGCCAAUGGAUACUCAGGGCCCAUCUCGGUACCAGGCGAACUUUGCUCGUAUACUGGUGAACUGGCCGAUGGACAUCCAGGGGCUAGCACGGCGAGAGUAUUUAAGGCUGUGCUCGGUGACUCCGGGGGGGUGUUUGAGGACUGCUGCAGGAGCUGCUGCCACUCUGUUACCCUGCCAGUUCAGCUUGUUUCUCGGAGGCUACAAGGCAACCAUGGUAGAAGCCCAAUGGAGAUCUACCAGCUUGCAAGCCAGUGGCGCUUCAUGGUGGUGGUAACUCCUGUCCUGUGCUUUUAACAGUUACCCUUAGCUUUUCUUACUUUUAUAUGUCCCUUCUUUCUCUCUGCUCCUUUGUGUUACAAAAUAAAGUUAAGUUGUCAUUUUGGGAUCCAGCAUGUGGGCUCAUUUGGGCCUUAAUCUCACUUACGGGAAUGUUUUAGAACCUGAUUCCCCUAUGCAUCCAAGUGGAUUGGAACAUUAGCUUGUUUGAAGGUUGGAAAGAAAUGUUAUUUAAAAAAAAUAAUAAAUAAUUAUCUGCAACCUUACAUUGGCUCACCAACCACAAACAUUUUUAUUUAUUACUUUGAAUGUAUUCAAGCUGCUCAAAGAAAUGAAGAAAGUGCUGGAUAGUUAUAUUACCGUCAGUAGGAGUCUUCAGUUUCAUUGUCAUGAUUUAAACUGUCAGUAUAACAGAGCAGUUAUAUUGAAUGUGAAAUGAGGCUUAUGAGAAUGCAUGUCUGUGCCUUGUGUUAUACUCACUGGUUCUUGUUUCUCUCAUUGUAUUAGGUUACUCCACCCCCUCACCUCUCGUGGAUCAGCAAUAAUAUGAUUAGCAUGUUGGCAGAGGGGAUUUUCAGAGAAAAACAGAAUGUCCUUUUUUUGAAUGGUGAUAGAUUAGAAUUUCUCUCAAAUGUGGAGGCAUUCUUAAGUUAUUUAGUGUCACAUAAAGCUAAUAAAAUUUUAUGGAAGACAGAUGCAAACCUAUGUAGUUAAAUAAUUGGUUUUUAGGGCUGCUUCAGUGGCAGGUGUUUACCUUAGUUCUGUCACAAACUGUUAUCCUGUGCCCAUCACUCCACUGCGUUACUCUUAGAAGGAACUCAAUAAUAUUGAACCAGUUACAGUUACAAUGAAUAUAUCAUUUCCCAUGAGUAAUUAAUUCUGCCCUUACCAUGUUUCUCUCACUUUGGUUUGAAUUUUUCCAGGUUCAGUUUCCAUUACAUUGCUGUCUUCAAGUUUGUCCCCCCACUACGGAUUUGUGGGGGGUCUACCAUCGGGUGCAUCUGCCUUAGAUUUCUGCUUCAUUCCUGUGGCUGUGCCCAGUCGUGCACACUGCACACAUGUUGCUUCAGUCCCAGCUUGUCUUUUGGAUCAAAGCAGCUGUUUCUCUGUAGGAGAAAACUUGGAUGUGUCUGGAGGCUCUACCUCAGUUGCUGUUCCAGAUGGCAGUAGAGACUGCACUCGAUUUGGCUCCUUGUUCUCUCUCUCUUCCCAGCCCUCCACUGCUAUCCCAACAUCAUCUCAACCCCUACAUGCCCUCAUUGUGUACAGCACAAGCCCUCAGCAUCAUGUUACAAUAACACUGUCCUUACCUUUUUUUUUUUUUUUUUUUUUUUUUUGGCACUUGGAAUGGAAAAAGAUGGGGUUAAAAAAAAAAAGAUGGUUUAGGAUGGCAAGGACAACAGGGGAGACCUGAAAUCGGGCCUGUGUGCAUGAGACACUGCCGUUGUUUGGGCCAAGCAUUCUGCGCGUGAGCGGCUCUGCACCCCUGGCUGGGAGGCUGCCGGGGACUGCGUGCUUGGAGGAGUGGAUGUUGCCUUUGCAUCAAAUGCCCUUCCAUGACAACCAGACAUUUCUACUGAUAUAAAAAUGGGCUGCUUUAAAUGCAUUUAGAAGUUGAUGUGGCCACAACUGUAGUCAGUGGAGGAAAGGGUUUUUUGCAGUUAUGUUGCCACAGCGAGCUGGAACAUGCCCAGGGCAAUGAGGGCUGUGCAGGUGAGGACAGAUCUUGCCCCUACCUUCUGUCUGGCUGUUUUUGUAUGAUGCUGUUUGGAUCAGUAAAAAUGAAGAGUUUUUCACCCUGUAUUUCGUCUAGAUGUGUUUAGCAGUGAACGAAGAAUUUUUUUAAAAGAGAAAAUUGCGAUUUCCUGUCUAUCGUUUCUUCUCCCUCUUAAAUGAAAUGUGCCCUUGAGUGAACAGAAGUGUGACAAGGACGUACCUUGAGUGACAAACAUUGAGCUCUGAUGGCAGGAUGGACUGUUCUGUGUUUCUAAUUAAUGACUUUCCUCUUCUUACAAGUUCUGAAAAGUAUGUAUUUCCUGAACUGAUUUUUUUACAGUUGUGUUUAAAUUUGUGAACAGUGACUCCAUUAUUGAAAAAUUAUAGCUAUGCUCAUCAUCUGUAAGGCUGUUUAAGUAGAAAAGCAUGCUGCAUCAGGUAGAGAUGAAUGCUGUGAUUACUUUUAUAAGAUAAUGGAGCCCUGAGUUUUUUGAGCUGUGUUUGUACAUUAACCUGAAAUGAACUUUCUUGCUCAGUGGUUUCAUUUGUAUCAUCAUUUUCAGUCACUAAACCAUAAAAAAACACUCCAAUUCCCUGAUCAGUUUUAAGCACUUCCUGAAUUAGAAAAAGAUUUCAUGACUGCUGCUUAACUGAGUAAUAUCUGCCUUCAUUUAAAGUAUUGGCAUGUUUUAUGUAUUAACUAUUAAGACCUGAGUCAAUCGUGAUGCUUUUUGAUAUAUUUUCAGUUUUUUCUUCCAUGACUGUUUUGCUUUUCUCUGUUAUCUGCACGGUCACUCUCAGCCCUGGCAAAUUGCUGUCCCUCUUAAGUCUUGAUCAACAUAUAGCUAUACCAACAUGAGAAGAAUGGGAGGUGGUAGGGUUACAAUUUCUUUUCCAGUAGAGCUACAUGGUGCAAUUCCUCGCACACACCAUUUAUGGACAGACUAAAACUGCUACAGCUUAUUCUGCUGUGAGGGGAUAAACUAUUACAAGGUGAGCACCUCUUAAAUCAUGCACCAGGGAUAGCACAAGCUACUCAUACUCUUCUGACUUCUGCAGAAUAAAAUUGUCUAAUUUUGGUGUGUAAACACGUUCUCCUAAGCCAAAAGCUUAAAAUCUGAUCCCUUGGGUCACUGUGUUUCUCUUCUGCUUUCCUUCACCCCUAUUUCAGGCCACAUAUACGAAGAAGUAUGUAGAUCACGGCAUGCCGCGUAUCGGGUGUCUCUGACAGCUGGCAACACAUUUGCAGUACAUGCAUAGCACCAAUAUUUCCAAAUGCAAGAGGGAGCACAAAGACUUCAAAGGUUUCAUGUUUGCUCACAAAUUAUGCUUUUUCCCCAGGUGGUUUUCUGUGUGUUUUAAAGUUUGAAAAAAUAUUCCUUGUUUUCAAACUGAACACAAGAUACUGCACUGACCAUAUACCAGUGCUUUCUGAAGUCCCGAAGGGCACUCUGGGAACAACAACAGUUUUUGUUCCCAACAGCUAUACAUAUAUAUACAUGUAUAUAUAUAUAUAGUUUUUAUUUUAAUAUUAUAUAUAAUUUGUUGUGGUAUUAUGCAGAUUUGGGUGGGUUUUGUGUUUUUUUUGGUUGGUUGGUGGAUUGGGGUUUUUUUUGUUUUGUUCAGAAGAGGUAGCUAGAGCCAAAGCAAGUAAACCUGACAUGAUAAAAUCUGGAAACUAUAUAGCUAAGGUACUUCCAGUUCCUUUUAUCGAAAACAGUGCCUGUGCUUCCUUAUAUUUCACUAUUGUGUAGUAACAUAUUUCGUCAUAUUGCAAGUUAUUUUUCAAUGUUUUCAACUGUUGUUUUGUGUACCUUUUUAAAGUGACAUCAUUUCAGCUAUUUAUAUGAUGUUUUCUCUGAUGGCAGUAAAUGGAAAUCUCAGCCGAGUUUCUGUCUUCAAUAUGCUAAUUUCUACACAGUCUACAAGCAGACUGCACCUCCAGAAUAAACUUCAGUGGUGGCAGACACAUUGUCUUCAGCAUUGGGUAGCAGAUCACUGUAAUAAACUGCUUUAUACAUAAACUCAUUUAUACAUAUAUUGAUCUGAAAAGAAAAGAACAACCAAAUAAACCUGGCUGGACAUA
Long non-coding RNA from Pipra filicauda (Wire-tailed manakin), 9415 nucleotides. RefSeq lists it as uncharacterized. The transcript has 3 exons. Lineage: Eukaryota; Metazoa; Chordata; Aves; Passeriformes; Pipridae. The record is from RefSeq and is a predicted model, not a curated record.